Molecule: ribosomal RNA, 247 nt
Filed under: uncultured bacterium
Lineage: Bacteria
Description: partial 16S ribosomal RNA
Rfam family: Bacterial small subunit ribosomal RNA
Source: RNAcentral
GACAGGAGGGACGGGCGUUAUUCAUCAUUACUAGGUGUAAAAAGUACGUAGGUUAGUUGUUUUUAGACGGAAUGAAUAUGGAGUUAUCGCUAAGCAGUUCCCGAAUUACAACAAAGAGUACAGAAGGAGAAAAUGUAAUUGCUGAGGUAGGGGUGAAAUCCAACGAGAUCAGUAGGAAAGCUAAAAGCGAAGGCAGUUUUCUAUUUUGUUCUAUCACUGAGGUACGAAGGUCUGGGUAUCAAACGGG